UACGGAGGGUGCGAGCGUUAUCCGGAAUCACUGGGCGUAAAGGGCGCGUAGGCGGUUUGUUAAGUCCGUUGUUAAAGACUGGGGCUCAACCCUGGCAUGGCAGUGGGUACUGGCAGGCUUGACGGCUGGAGAGGCGAGUGGAAUUACCAGUGUAGCGGUGGAAUGCGUAGAUACUGGUAGGAACACCCAUGGCGAAGGCAGCUCGCUGGACAGCUCGUGACGCUGAGGCGCGAAAGUGUGGGGAGCGAACCGG
RNAcentral lists this ribosomal RNA (253 nucleotides) under uncultured bacterium. Its description in RNAcentral is "partial 16S ribosomal RNA". It matches the Rfam family "Bacterial small subunit ribosomal RNA", at positions 524 to 776 of the family's 1533-position model. The record is from RNAcentral.